Arabidopsis lyrata subsp. lyrata is the source of this 581-nucleotide long non-coding RNA. RefSeq lists it as uncharacterized. The transcript has 3 exons. The record is from RefSeq and is a predicted model, not a curated record. NCBI's taxonomy places the organism in Eukaryota, Viridiplantae, Streptophyta, Magnoliopsida, Brassicales, Brassicaceae.
AGCAAAAAAGCCCUUUCUUCUUUACUCAGAAAAAGCAAAUGCGUGACCUAACGAACCUCAACGUCAAGUGACAUUAUCAUUGCUCUUCUCUUCUUCACCUUUGAGUUUCUCGAGGGUCCUUUUUUUUUUUCAAUUUUACUGCUAAAUAGUGGUUACUGUCUUCAGCCGCCGUCGCCGGAUUUCAUCAUCGAAGGCGACGGAAGCAGUUUUCUAGGGUUUAUCCAACGAAGCUCCGUUUGAUUGUCAUCGGUUCCGUUUUUAUUCGUCGAUCUUCCAUUUUCGCAUUGUUGUUUUCUACAUCCGAAGAUGGGAAGCAGUCCAGCUCCAUUUGCCGAUAUUGGCAAGAAAGCUAAAGAUCUCCUGAAUAAGGAUUACAUUUUUGACCACAAGUUUACUCUCACAAUGCUGAGUGCUACAGGAACGGUAAGUACGAUAUCACUUGGAUCCUUUUACUUUAAUAGACUAUGCUCAACAUACCAGGGAAGUGCUUAUGAACUGUGGUAUUACAUGCUUUUUGAACCAAAAUUAUUGCAGUAAGCAUGCUCUUUGAUAUCUAUAGAUCCAGUUAAUGUACAUUACUU